This 28-nucleotide non-coding RNA is filed under the name Rattus norvegicus (Norway rat). The record is from RNAcentral. Lineage: Eukaryota; Metazoa; Chordata; Mammalia; Rodentia; Muridae.
UAAGAUGCUACACAGAUCUCCAGCUCUU